GUCCGUGUAGCACAAUAGAUACUGUGUGUGUGUGUGUGUUGGACUUCUAAUCCAAAGGUCAUGGGUUCGAACCCCACUUGGGAUG
Trichonephila clavipes is the source of this 85-nucleotide non-coding RNA. The record is from the annotation of a GenBank genome assembly. NCBI's taxonomy places the organism in Eukaryota, Metazoa, Arthropoda, Arachnida, Araneae, Nephilidae.